RNAcentral lists this ribosomal RNA (624 nucleotides) under uncultured bacterium. RNAcentral describes it as "bacterial SSU rRNA". It matches the Rfam family "Bacterial small subunit ribosomal RNA", at positions 223 to 863 of the family's 1533-position model. The record is from RNAcentral.
GGAGGGGCCUGCGUCCCAUCAGCUUGUUGGUGAGGUAAUGGCUUACCAAGGCUAUGACGGGUAGGGGACCUGAGAGGGUGACCCCCCACAAUGGAACUGAAACACGGUCCAUACACCUACGGGUGGCAGCAGUAGGGAAUAUUGGUAAUGGGCGAAAGCCUGAACCAGCAACGCCGCGUGUGCGAAGAAGGCCUUCGGGUUGUAAAGCACUUUUUAAGGGGAUGAGGAAGGACAGUACCCUUAGAAUAAGCCUCGGCUAACUACGUGCCAGCAGCCGCGGUAACACGUAGGAGGCAAGCGUUAUUCGGAUUUACUGGGCGUAAAGCGCGUGCAGGCGGUUUGGUAAGUUGGAUGUGAAAGCUCCCGGCCUAACUGGGAGAGGUCGUUCAAUACUACCAGACUAGAGGAUGGGAGAGGGAGGUGGAAUUCCGGGUGUAGUGGUGAAAUGCGUAGAUAUCCGGAGGAACACCAGUGGCGAAAGCGGCCUCCUGGCCCAUUUCUGACGCUCAGACGCGAAAGCUAGGGUAGCAAACGGGAUUAGAGACCCCGGUAGUCCUAGCUGUAAACGAUGUGAACUUGGCGUCGGCGGGUUUAAAUCCGUCGGUGCCGAAGCUAACGCGAUAA